Molecule: small nuclear RNA, 120 nt
Filed under: Chinchilla lanigera (long-tailed chinchilla)
Lineage: Eukaryota; Metazoa; Chordata; Mammalia; Rodentia; Chinchillidae
Description: U4 spliceosomal RNA (ENSCLAG00000020654.1)
Rfam family: U4 spliceosomal RNA
About the family: U4 small nuclear RNA (U4 snRNA) is a component of the major U2-dependent spliceosome.
Source: Rfam by way of RNAcentral
AGCUUUGCACAGUAGCAGUAUUGUAGCCAAUGAGGUUUAUCUGAGGCGCCAUUAUUGCUAAUUGAAAACUUUCUUGGGAAACAUUUUAAAUUUCAGUGAUUUAAAAUCCUGUAGCAACAG